This 429-nucleotide ribosomal RNA is filed under the name Bacteroidota bacterium. RNAcentral's name for it is "Bacteroidetes bacterium partial 16S ribosomal RNA". It matches the Rfam family "Bacterial small subunit ribosomal RNA", at positions 355 to 776 of the family's 1533-position model. The record is from RNAcentral. Lineage: Bacteria; Pseudomonadati; Bacteroidota.
UAGGGAAUCUUCCGCAAUGGACGCAAGUCUGACGGAGCAACGCCGCGUGAGUGAAGAAGGAUUUCGGUUCGUAAAACUCUGUUGUUAGAGAAGAACAGCGCAUAGAGUAACUGUUAUGCGUGUGACGGUAUCUAACCAGAAAGCCACGGCUAACUACGUGCCAGCAGCCGCGGUAAUACGUAGGUGGCAAGCGUUGUCCGGAUUUAUUGGGCGUAAAGCGAGCGCAGGCGGUCAAUUAAGUCUGAAGUGAAAGCCCCCGGCUCAACCGGGGAGGGUCAUUGGAAACUGGUUGACUUGAGUGCAGAAGAGGAGAGUGGAAUUCCAUGUGUAGCGGUGAAAUGCGUAGAUAUAUGGAGGAACACCAGUGGCGAAGGCGACUCUCUGGUCUGUAACUGACGCUGAGGCUCGAAAGCGUGGGUAGCAAACAGG